GACGAACGCUGGCGGCGUGCUUAACACAUGCAAGUCGAGCGGUAAGGCCCUUUCGGGGGUACGACGAGCGGCGAACGGGUGAGUAACACGUGGGUGACCUGCCCUCCAGCUCUGGGAGUAAGCCUGGGAAACCGGGUCUAAUACUGGAUAUGACUCCAUGACGCAUGUUGUGGGGUGGAAAGCCUUGUGCGGCUGAGGAUGGGCCCGCGGCCUAUCAGCUUGUUGGUGGGGUGANGGCCUACCAAGGCGACGACGGGUAGCCGGCCUGAGAGGGCGACCGGCCACACUGGGACUGAGACACGGCCCAGACUCCUACGGGAGGCAGCAGUGGGGAAUCUUGCGCAAUGGGCGAAAGCCUGACGCAGCGACGCCGCGUGAGGGAUGACGGCCUC
RNAcentral lists this ribosomal RNA (392 nucleotides) under uncultured bacterium. Its description in RNAcentral is "bacterial SSU rRNA". It matches the Rfam family "Bacterial small subunit ribosomal RNA", at positions 28 to 418 of the family's 1533-position model. The record is from RNAcentral.